Long non-coding RNA from Stegodyphus dumicola, 1753 nucleotides. The record is from RefSeq and is a predicted model, not a curated record. NCBI's taxonomy places the organism in Eukaryota, Metazoa, Arthropoda, Arachnida, Araneae, Eresidae.
GCAAAAUUUUUAAGCGCAGGGUACUUUUAAAUGAUAUUAAUUUUUAAAUUUAUUGAAAUUGGAGCAAUUGCGUUAUUUUUGAUAACGAAUACUUCUAAUAGAAACCAAUGAAAUUUAUAUUUCACAAAUUUUUAAGUUACAUUUUUUAAGCGACUAUAAAGUGAUGUUAGUGAUUUAGAUCUAUUGAAACUGGAGCAAUCACAUUAUUUUUUUAACAAAUACUUCAAUUACGAAAAUUUCAAAAAUUUUUAAGUUACUUUUUUAGCACAGAGACAACAUUUAAGCGAUAUUAGUGAUUUAGAUCUAUUGAAACGGCAGUAAUAGUAUUAUUUUUUAACGUAAAUUUCUGUUAUAAACCAGUGAAAUUAACAUUUCACAAAUUUUUAAGUUAUUUUUUUUUUUAAGCACAAGGGGACUAUAAAGUGAUGCUUGUGAUUUAGAUCUAUUUAAAUUGGAGCAAUCGCAUUAUUUUUGUUAAUGAACGCUUCUGCUAUAAGCCAACGAAAUCAAUAUUUCAAAAUUUUUUAAGUUAAAUUUAUUUAAGCACUGUGCAACUUUAAAGUCCUGUUGGUGUUUCAAAAAUUUUAACUUAGUUUUUUUAAAGCACAGAGACAAUAUUAAAAUGAGACUAGAGAUUUAGAUGUAUUGAAAUUGGAACUCCAGUAUUGUUUUUUUAGCGAAUACUUCUGUUAGAAGCCAAUGAAAUUAACAUUUAAAAAAUUCUUGAGUUUUUUUUUAAGUAUAGGGCAACUAUAAAGUGAUGUUAGUGAUUUAGAUAUAUUGAAAUUGGAGCAAUCGCAUUAUUUGUUUUUAACGAGUACUUCUGUUAUAAGCUAAUGAAAUUAAUAUUUCAAAAAUUUAUUAACUUCAUUUUUUUUAAACACAGAGACAACGUUAAGGUGACAUUAGUGAUUUAGAGCUAUUGAAAUUUUAGCAAUCGUAUUAUUUUUUUUAACGAAUGCUUCUGUUAGAAGCCAAUAAAAUAACAUUUCAAAACUUUUUCAUUUUUUUUAAGCAUACGGCAACUAUAAAGUGAUGUUAGUGAUUUAGAUAUAUCGAACGCGAUAGGGCAACCCUAAAGUGAUGUUAGUGAUUUAGAUCAACAUUUCAAAAAUUUUAAGUUAUUAAACACUAGGAAUUUAUAGCUCUGAAUAAGGAAAAAAGCGCUAAGAAUUUAAAUUCUGAGUGUCAAAUAUUUCACAAGAUUCGUGAGAUAUUCCAGAUUUCCAAUGUCCAAUUUCUAAUAAUAACUAUCUUAGUACAAAAAUGAAUGAAUUCAUUUAAAAAUUUACCAAAGGAACAUUCUUGAGAAUCCUAAAAUUAUAAGCGAUACGCCUCGCUUAUUAACAUAGCUCUUUAAUUUUCGUAAUUAUCAGAGAUAUAUCUUUCCUGAACUUAUCUAAUAUAAAUUUAUUUUCUACUUGUAGUUCAUGUGCUUGAAUAAGUAUAAGCUAAUUUAUGCAUUGUGCAGAGAAAUUACUACCUAUGGAUGAGGUACCUCUAGUGAACAUAUUUAAUGUGUAAUUUAUGUUCAGCUUGUAAUUAGUUAUUACUUGUAUAGUCAAAAGUCAAGCUUUGCUUUAGGUAGAGAAAUUAUUGUCAAUGGAUUUAAAAAAUCCGACGCUUCUUCACAGUUUCUGUGUAUGUUUUCAAGAAUAUAAUCUUAAGAUUUUUGUGGUCUUGAUUAUUAUGUGUUUGUAAAUCUACACGAGAAUGAUUGUAUAAAAUGAAUAAAAUUUAUGUGAUAACUAAA